This 492-nucleotide ribosomal RNA is filed under the name uncultured bacterium. RNAcentral describes it as "partial 16S ribosomal RNA". It matches the Rfam family "Bacterial small subunit ribosomal RNA", at positions 29 to 507 of the family's 1533-position model. The record is from RNAcentral.
AGUGAACGCUGGCGGUAGGCCUAACACAUGCAAGUCGAACGGCAGCACAGUAAGAGCUUGCUCUUACGGGUGGCGAGUGGCGGACGGGUGAGGAAUACAUCGGAAUCUACUUUUUCGUGGGGGAUAACGUAGGGAAACUUACGCUAAUACCGCAUACGACCUACGGGUGAAAGCAGGGGAUCUUCGCACCUUGCGCGAUUGAAUGAGCCGAUGUCGGAUUAGCUAGUUGGCGGGGUAAAGGCCCACCAAGGCGACGAUCCGUAGCUGGUCUGAGAGGAUGAUCAGCGACACUGGAACUGAGACACGGUCAAGACUCCUACGGGAGGCAGCAGUGGGGAAUAUUGGACAAUGGGCGCAAGCCUGAUCCAGCCAGACCGCGUGUGUGAAGAAGGCCUUCGGGUUGUAAAGACCUUUUGUUGGGAAAGAAAAGCAGCAGGUUAAUACCCAGCUGUUCUGACGGUACCCAAAGAAUAAGCACCGGCUAACUUCGUG